RNAcentral lists this ribosomal RNA (467 nucleotides) under uncultured bacterium. RNAcentral describes it as "partial 16S ribosomal RNA". It matches the Rfam family "Bacterial small subunit ribosomal RNA", at positions 28 to 506 of the family's 1533-position model. The record is from RNAcentral.
GACGGACGCUGGCGGCGUGCUUAACACAUGCAAGUCGAACGGAAAGGCCCUGCUUUUGUGGGGUGCUCGAGUGGCGAACGGGUGAGUAACACGUGAGUAACCUGCCCUUGACUUUGGGAUAACUUCAGGAGACUGGGGCUAAUACCGGAUAGGAGCUCCUGCUGCAUGGUGGGGGUUGGAAAGUUUCGGCGGUUGGGGAUGGACUCGCGGCUUAUCAGCUUGUUGGUGGGGUAGUGGCUUACCAAGGCUUUGACGGGUAGCCGGCCUGAGAGGGUGACCGGCCACAUUGGGACUGAGAUACGGCCCAGACUCCUACGGGAGGCAGCAGUGGGGAAUAUUGCACAAUGGGCGGAAGCCUGAUGCAGCAACGCCGCGUGCGGGAUGACGGCCUUCGGGUUGUAAACCGCUUUCGCCUGUGACGAAGCGUGAGUGACGGUAAUGGGUAAAGAAGCACCGGCUAACUACGU